AAUGACGAUGCUAAUGAAGCCGGCCCAAGCCACGGCGUGGCCGCCCCCAACGUACGAAGGAGGAAUGAAGCUCGGAUGGCGAAAAGGUUGUGCAAAUGGCGUCGUGAGUUCAGAAAGCUCGAAAAAUGAGUCACCCGGCCGGGUGAAUUUGUGGGGUUGAAAACCCACCCAGCCGGGUCAUUUUUGAAGGUAACUCGGAGUCCAGAUUUAUCGCCCGGUCAGGCGAUGUCAUCUUUCGGAACGCCCGGUCGGGCGUUUCCCCGCGAGCCAUCCAGAAGCCUUUGGCCCGGUCGGGCGAUUCCCUCUUCUAAUUUCGCCCGGUCGGGCGUUUUGGAGUUUCAACUGCAAAAUGGCAGUUCUGGCGGCAGUUUUGAGGAUUAAAAACGAGAAAAAUCAGAGCAGAAAGGGGGAGGACUCCUGGGGACGAUUGGGACAGAGAUUGGAGAGAAAGAAGAGAGGAAGAAGAAGAGAAGAGGAAGGAAGGGAGAUCUAAUCUUCAUCAUCUCGGAGGAGAUUUACUACUAUCUACACAUUGAGUUCUAUGGUUCUUCUCGUUUGGUUGUGGAUGUGUAACUAAACUCUUCCGUUGCUCCUAAUUAGUGAAAGAUGUGAAUUACUUUAGGAUUCUAUGUAUUAAUAUUAUUCUAUGAUCUUUUCUA
Salvia splendens (bonfire salvia) is the source of this 659-nucleotide long non-coding RNA. RefSeq lists it as uncharacterized. The transcript has 2 exons. The record is from RefSeq and is a predicted model, not a curated record. Lineage: Eukaryota; Viridiplantae; Streptophyta; Magnoliopsida; Lamiales; Lamiaceae.